RNAcentral lists this ribosomal RNA (440 nucleotides) under uncultured bacterium. RNAcentral describes it as "partial 16S ribosomal RNA". It matches the Rfam family "Bacterial small subunit ribosomal RNA", at positions 338 to 795 of the family's 1533-position model. The record is from RNAcentral.
CCUACGGGGGGCUGCAGUAGGGAAUAUUGCUCAAUGGGGGAAACCCUGAAGCAGCAACGCCGCGUGGAGGAUGAAGGUUUUCGGAUUGUAAACUCCUUUUGUUAGAGAAGAUAAUGACGGUAUCUAACGAAUAAGCACCGGAGAACGCCGUGCCAGCAGCCGCCGUAAUACGGAGGGUGCAAGCGUUAACCGGAAUCACUGGGCGUAAAGGGCGCGUAGGCGGGGUAGCAAGUCAGAUGGGAAAUCCUUAGGCUUAACCAUAAAACUGCAUUUGAAACUGGUAUUCUAGAGUAUGGGAGAGGUAGGUGGAAUUCUUGGUGUAGGGGUAAAAUCCGUAGAGAUCAAGAGGAAUACUCAUUGCGAAGGCGACCUGCUAGAACAUAACUGACGCUGAUGCGCGAAAGCGUGGGGAGCAAACAGGAUUAGAUACCCCAGUAGUC